ACACAUGCAAGUCGAACGAAAAGAGGGAAAGAGCUUGCUCUUUCCGGAAUUGAGUGGCAAACGGGUGAGUAACACGUAAACAACCUGCCUUCAGGAUGGGGACAACAGACGGAAACGACUGCUAAUACCGAAUAAGUUCCAAGAGCCGCAUGGCCCAUGGAAGAAAAGGUGGCCUCUACCUGUAAGCUAUCGCCUGAAGAGGGGUUUGCGUCUGAUUAGCUGGUUGGAGGGGUAACGGCCCACCAAGGCGACGAUCAGUAGCCGGUCUGAGAGGAUGAACGGCCACACUGGAACUGAGACACGGUCCAGACUCCUACGGGAGGCAGCAGUGGGGAAUCUUCCGCAAUGGGCGAAAGCCUGACGGAGCAACGCCGCGUGAGUGAUGACGGCCUUCGGGUUGUAAAACUCUGUGAUCCGGGACGAAAAGGCAGAGUGCGAAGAACAAACUGCAUUGACGGUACCGGAAAAGCAAGCCACGGCUAACUACGUGCCAGCAGCCGCGGUAAUACAUAGGUGGCAAGCGUUGUCCGGAAUUAUUGGGCGUAAAGCGCGCGCAGGCGGCUUCCCAAGUCCCUCUUAAAAGUGCGGGGCUUAACCCCGUGAUGGGAAGGAAACUGGGAAGCUGGAGUAUCGGAGAGGAAAGUGGAAUUCCUAGUGUAGCGGUGAAAUGCGUAGAGAUUAGGAAGAACACUGGUGGCGAAGGCGACUUUCUGGACGAAAACUGACGCUGAGGCGCGAAAGCGUGGGGAGCAAACAGGAUUAGAUACCCUGGUAGUCCACGCCGUAAACGAUGGAUACUAGGUGUAGGAGGUAUCGACCCCUUCUGUGCCGGAGUUAACGCAAUAAGUAUCCCGCCUGGG
RNAcentral lists this ribosomal RNA (860 nucleotides) under uncultured bacterium. Its description in RNAcentral is "bacterial SSU rRNA". It matches the Rfam family "Bacterial small subunit ribosomal RNA", at positions 51 to 877 of the family's 1533-position model. The record is from RNAcentral.